AUACGUAGGUGGCAAGCGUUGUCCGGAUUUACCGGGUGUAAAGGGCGUGUAGGCGGAGAUGCAAGUCAGGAGUGAAAUCUAGGGGCUCAACCCCUAAACUGCUUUUGAAACUGUAUCCCUUGAGUAUCGGAGAGGCAGGCGGAAUUCCUAGUGUAGCGGUGAAAUGCGUAGAUAUUAGGAGGAACACCAGUGGCGAAGGCGGCCUGCGGGACGACAACUGACGCUGAGGCGCGAAAGCGUGGGGAGCAAACAGGAUUAGAUACCCUGGUAGUCCACGCUGUAAACGAUGAAUACUAGGUGUGGGGGGACUGACCCCCUCCGUGCCGCAGUUAACACAAUAAGUAUUCCACCUGGGGGGUACGAUCGCAAGAUUGAAACUCAAAGGAAUUGACGGGG
RNAcentral lists this ribosomal RNA (396 nucleotides) under uncultured bacterium. Its description in RNAcentral is "partial 16S ribosomal RNA". It matches the Rfam family "Bacterial small subunit ribosomal RNA", at positions 523 to 918 of the family's 1533-position model. The record is from RNAcentral.